GAGCCAGCCAUGGAGAGCAAGCCAGUAAGCAGAGUGCCUCUGCCCAUAGACUCUGCAUCUGCUCCUGCCUCCA
This 73-nucleotide microRNA precursor is filed under the name Cricetulus griseus (Chinese hamster). RNAcentral's name for it is "miRNA (ENSCGRG00001009264.1)". Lineage: Eukaryota; Metazoa; Chordata; Mammalia; Rodentia; Cricetidae. The record is from RNAcentral.